GCUGGCGUAGCUCAACGGCAGAGCAAUGGUUUUGUAAACCAUAGGUUGGAGGUUCGAUUCCUCUCGCCAGCUCCA
Molecule: transfer RNA, 75 nt
Filed under: Candidatus Omnitrophica bacterium CG_4_9_14_0_2_um_filter_42_8
Lineage: Bacteria; Pseudomonadati; Candidatus Omnitrophota
Also listed under: 2 other names
Description: tRNA-Thr
Rfam family: tRNA
About the family: Transfer RNA (tRNA) molecules are approximately 80 nucleotides in length. Their secondary structure includes four short double-helical elements and three loops (D, anti-codon, and T loops).
Source: RNAcentral